UACGAAGGGUGCGAGCGUUAAUCGGAAUUACUGGGCGUAAAGCGCGCGUAGGCGGUUUGUUAAGUUGGAGGUGAAAUCCCCGGGCUCAACCUGGGAACUGCCUCCAAAACUGGCUGACUAGAGUACGGUAGAGGGUGGUGGAAUUUCCUGUGUAGCGGUGAAAUGCGUAGAUAUAGGAAGGAACACCAGUGGCGAAGGCGACCACCUGGACUGAUACUGACGCUGAGGUGCGAAAGCGUGGGGAGCAAACAGG
This 253-nucleotide ribosomal RNA is filed under the name uncultured bacterium. Its description in RNAcentral is "partial 16S ribosomal RNA". It matches the Rfam family "Bacterial small subunit ribosomal RNA", at positions 524 to 776 of the family's 1533-position model. The record is from RNAcentral. RNAcentral also lists the same sequence under 1 other name.